This 550-nucleotide ribosomal RNA is filed under the name uncultured bacterium. RNAcentral describes it as "bacterial SSU rRNA". It matches the Rfam family "Bacterial small subunit ribosomal RNA", at positions 355 to 896 of the family's 1533-position model. The record is from RNAcentral.
UAGGGAAUCUUCGGCAAUGGACGGAAGUCUGACCGAGCAACGCCGCGUGAGUGAAGAAGGUUUUCGGAUCGUAAAGCUCUGUUGUAAGAGAAGAACGAGUGUGAGAGUGGAAAGUUCACACUGUGACGGUAUCUUACCAGAAAGGGACGGCUAACUACGUGCCAGCAGCCGCGGUAAUACGUAGGUCCCGAGCGUUAUCCGGAUUUAUUGGGCGUAAAGCGAGCGCAGGCGGUUAGAUAAGUCUGAAGUUAAAGGCUGUGGCUUAACCAUAGUACGCUUUGGAAACUGUUUAACUUGAGUGCAGAAGGGGAGAGUGGAAUUCCAUGUGUAGCGGUGAAAUGCGUAGAUAUAUGGAGGAACACCGGUGGCGAAAGCGGCUCUCUGGUCUGUAACUGACGCUGAGGCUCGAAAGCGUGGGGAGCAAACAGGAUUAGAUACCCUGGUAGUCCACGCCGUAAACGAUGAGUGCUAGGUGUUGGGUCCUUUCCGGGACUCAGUGCCGCAGCUAACGCAUUAAGCACUCCGCCUGGGGAGUACNACCGCAAGGUUG